This 546-nucleotide ribosomal RNA is filed under the name Coprinellus disseminatus. RNAcentral's name for it is "partial large subunit ribosomal RNA". It matches the Rfam family "Eukaryotic large subunit ribosomal RNA", at positions 121 to 650 of the family's 3401-position model. Lineage: Eukaryota; Fungi; Basidiomycota; Agaricomycetes; Agaricales; Psathyrellaceae. The record is from RNAcentral.
UCUGGCGGUCCUUGGCCGUCCGAGUUGUAAUCUAGAGAAGUGUUACCCGCGUCGGACCGUGUACAAGUCUCCUGGAAUGGAGCGUCAUAGAGGGUGAGAAUCCCGUCUUUGACACGGACUACCGAGGCUUCUGUGGUGCGCUCUCAAAGAGUCGAGUUGUUUGGGAAUGCAGCUCAAAAUGGGUGGUAAAUUCCAUCUAAAGCUAAAUAUUGGCGAGAGACCGAUAGCGAACAAGUACCGUGAGGGAAAGAUGAAAAGAACUUUGGAAAGAGAGUUAAACAGUACGUGAAAUUGCUGAAAGGGAAACGCUUGAAGUCAGUCGCGUCCUUCGGGAAUCAGCCUUCCUUUUGGUUGGCGUACUUCCUGGUGGACGGGCCAGCAUCAGUUUUGACCGGUGGAAAAAGUUGUAGGGAAUGUGGCACCUCCGGGUGUGUUAUAGCCUUGCUUCGUAUACAUCGGUUGGGACUGAGGAACUCAGCACGCCGCAAGGCCGGGAUUCGUCCACGUUCGUGCUUAGGAUGCUGGCAUAAUGGCUUUAAUCGACCC